GACGAACGCUGGCGGCGUGCUUAACACAUGCAAGUCGAACGGAAAGGCCCUGCUUGUGUGUGGUGCUCGCGUGGCGAACGGGUGUGUAACCCGUGAGUAACCCGGGUUUUAGUUUGUGAUAACUGCAAGAAACUGGUGCUAAUGCCUGAUAGGAGCUCCUGCUGCAUGGUGGGGGUUGGAAAGCUUCGGCGGUUGGGGAUGGACUCGCGGCUUAUCAGCUUGUUGGUGGGGUGACGGCCAACGAAAGCUUUGACAGUUAGUCGGCCUGGGAGGUUGAUCGGCCAAAAGGGAACUGAGAUAGGGCGCAGUGUCGAACGGGAGGCAGCAGUGGGGAAUAUUGCACAACGGGCGGAAGGCUGAAGGAGAAACGCCGCGUGGGGGAUGACGGCCUUGGGGGGGUAAACCGCAGUCGGCUGAGACGAAGCGUGAGUGACGGUAAUGGGUAAAGAAGCACCGGCUAACUUCGUG
RNAcentral lists this ribosomal RNA (468 nucleotides) under uncultured bacterium. RNAcentral describes it as "partial 16S ribosomal RNA". It matches the Rfam family "Bacterial small subunit ribosomal RNA", at positions 28 to 507 of the family's 1533-position model. The record is from RNAcentral.